RNAcentral lists this ribosomal RNA (251 nucleotides) under uncultured prokaryote. RNAcentral describes it as "partial 16S rRNA". It matches the Rfam family "Bacterial small subunit ribosomal RNA", at positions 525 to 775 of the family's 1533-position model. The record is from RNAcentral.
ACGUAGGGUGCAAGCGUUAAUCGGAAUUACUGGGCGUAAAGCGUGCGCAGGCGGCUUUUUAAGAUAGAUGUGAAAUCCCCGGGCUUAACCUGGGAGGUGCAUUUGUGACUGUAUAGCUAGAGUACAGGAGAGGGGGAUGGAAUUCCGAGUGUAGCAGUGAAAUGCGUAGAUAUGAGGAGGAACACCGAUGGCGAAGGCAAUCCCCUGGACUUGAACUGACGCUCAUGCACGAAAGCGUGGGGAGCAAACAG